CAGUUUAGUUUACAUCAGCAGCAGACUGGGGCAGACCAUUUAGAUGACCAGCUUUAAUUUCCACAAGACCUAAUUUAGAGGGAGGUUUGGAGAAUAAAUUAAAAACAGCACAGGUUCCCUAUGGGAUAGGGGCAUUAGGGAGAAGAAUUUGCUUGCAGCCCUGUGGCAUUUGCCAUGUCGUUGUCCAUCUAUGGGUAGAGACCAGAGAAGGCCUUGAGCCCCCUACAAUGCAAAGGCAAGCCCCAUAACAAAGGCUAGCAGCAUAGCCCCAUGACACAGCUCUUGACGCAGAAAAUCUUCUGUGCUAAUUACCAGCAACAAUGCCAAAGCAAGUCCUGACUUGGUGAUUUCACCUGUGCUGGAGUGACUUUUAACACCUCAAAAGCUGCUAUUACCUCUGAUGAAUUUACAACACAGGAAAAGAAGGAUGUCGCUGAGAGCUGAAGAGCUGACCAGGCCCAGACACUCUUUGCUUAAGGAUUUUCAAGAAGGAAAACAGAACAAAAUAGAACACCAACAUGAAAAUUUGGAGGUAAGCAUUUGGCAUGCUUAGCCAUUUUACAUGUUGAGUUUGAGAAACUACUGCAACAUCUACAAUUCCAGAGCCCCUGAAAGGGUCCAUUACAUGAGCUCUAAAAUAUCACAUCAGGAACCAAGUUUGAAACAUCAUCAACCUGUAGAUCCUGUUACAUGCUUGGUAGAGAAGGGAUGUAACACAGUAAAAGUGGAUAGGAGUAAAGCUAAAGACCUCUCUAGUCUAGCUGACAUAUUUACAGUAUGUCUGAAGGAACAGAAUGCACAUAAUGUGCCCAGAAAACAGCAGAAACUAAAUAAAGACAGAGUCAUUAAUACAAGUUCUAAUGGGAGAGGCUAAUCUAUUUACUGUUGCACUUUCUUAGCACGUGUUUGGACAGAGCAGGACUGGCUGCCAGUGCUUUCCAAUGGAAAGCAGGCAAAGACUGUAUUGAAAAUGAUUGAGGAUGGGGAGUAAAGAGAUAAAAGCCAGUGCUGAAGAUAAGCAGAGGGUUUGAGUUUGCACACAUCAAUGAAGGAGAAGAACAGCUGUGUGGCAUACAGUGCUAGGGAAAGGAGGGCCAUUUUUCAUUAAGAGGACUCCCAAAGGGGGAAAUAGAAAAUGAAUUAACAAUGAUUCUAUAAUCAAAACAAACAGAAAACUGCUGAGAGCCUGAGCGCAAGUCUGAAGUCUGCCCCUUCACACAGGCUACUCCUGUUCCUUGUGCAGCAUCACCUCCAACCAAGGUGCACUGGCCCACCCUUUCCUGUUAGAGCCAUCCCAGACUCCCCUCCCACUGAGCUACCGCUUCCUUUCCAGACUUUGCCUUGUUACUGGAAACUUCCUGAUCUUCCCAUGACUCACUGUAAACAUUCAGGACUCAUCCAAACCAUCACCUCUUUAGAGCCCUUUUCCUGGAUCCCACAUACCACAGUCACAGCAAUGUGUCUUACUGCUCCAUUUUCUAGCAAUCAUUCCCAUCCAGAACCAUGUUUUCACCUGCACAUAUAUUCUAUUUUCACCAGGAACUAAGGGAUUUGAGGGUGUUCAAUACUCAAUUUCCAACAUCUAAAACAGCGUGUGGCAUAGACAUUCAUCAUAUAAACUGUGAGAAAUCCAAACAAUAAUCACUAUCCUGAGAAGAUAAAUCCACAAAGCAGUUUUAAUUUCCUUUUUUUAAAUGCAUUUGAUGAUGUAAUUUGUAAAGGUCUGGGAGAUUUCAAAGAAAAAUGCAUUCUUCCUAACAAUACAAAAUAGUACAUACGUAUGGAUAUCAAGGAGUGGAUAUAGAGGGGGACACAGUAUACACUGUCCCUUCAUGGGCAUGUUUAUCCAGCAUUUUACUUAGCCAUAAACACAGCCAAAAUACCGCAAAACGUGUUCUUUUUUUUAUCAAAUCCUGCUCUAGAAGAGGAAGAGGGACAGAUGAAGUGAAAAUGGGAAUUCCCUUUAGUAUCCUUAAACAAAGACAACAGACGGAACAUGCUGGAGUAACUCUAGUACACUGAGAAGUUGGACCUAUCACUGAGUUCACCUUUACUAACCUUACCCUAACGAGUACUGGGUCAAGUGAUGGAUUCGGUGAUUCCAUCUGUGAAUAAAGACAAAUGCCUUUGCAACUGCCGUUGUUAAGAGAACACUAAGAAAAGUUCCACAAUGACCACCCUUGUUCCAACCAAAGGAGGAAGAGAAAGAACUCUACUGAGAUUUGAAAAAAUAAUAAUAAAAGGCAGGAUGAGUGGGCAAAGCUGAGAGCUAAAACCAUAGCUUGAACAUCCGUGACUCAUGCUUUAAUUUUCGUUUUGUUUUGUUAUAUCAGGGCUUUUUUGAUGCAGGUGCAAGGCUGGUAACUGACAGUAACCUGCCAGCCCACACCUGCAUGUCAUCUCGGUCAUGACAGGGGUGUGUGGCACUGGGCCGAGGCUGGAUCACUCGCCUCCUGGUGAGUGUGGGAGUAUGCCCGGGGCCCAGCAUCCCUCCCAUACUCCGCCACAUUUGCACCCAUAGGCCACAUGGUCCUGGCCAGGUGUGGGGGUUCCGGCGAGCCCCGAACCUUUGUGACCUGGCCCUCAGGGCUCGGGAAAACAGCCUACCUCCUCUGUGGCGCGAGCCGCCCGCUGGCCUGCAGACCCGGCUCCACGGUCCAGGCCGGCCGGGCUGGGGCGGGGCUGCAGGGCGGGACCCGCGGCUGACGUCAACGCGCUGAUCACGCAAGACGCUGCAGCUCCCCGGAACAGUGAAGAGGUACAGAAGACAGCAGAUUCGUUUGUGGAAUUGUCAUUCUCGUGACGACCAAUAAACGGCGCUGGAAGGAGUAAGUGGGCGGGUCUAUAACUAGACCGAGCCUCCAGAGUUCGUUAGCUUAAGCAGUUUACAAUUGCAGGUUGGAGUUGGUUUCAUCUUCCUGAUGCCGGCUUCGAUUAGUUGCUUUAUAGGGUUUAGACUGCUGCCAGUGAAAAGUAAUCCUGAGGGUGGAUUUCAAGCUCUGCCACCUUGGUUUGAGCUGUCCACUAAGAACUUUCUUAGGAUCACCAUAAAUCUCAACUCGCCCAGACUUACAUAGGAAAAUCUUUAUUUCUUUCUCUCUCCCAAUCCGUAAUGCAUAUUGUAUUUGCAUAAUUAUUAUACACGAAAUUGAGCACUAAGUGAUGUUUAUGCUUUUCCCAGUAGAUGGUUAGUUACAUUUUUCAAAAAAUGUAAAUGCCAUUAGCAGUUCUGAAGAUGCUCAGCCUGUUGGAGGAAAACAGUGUUGAAAUUAAAUACUUUUAUAAAAAAGUAAUUUUAUAUACGAGCAAAAUUUUUGAACAUUGUAAGAUGUGCAAAACUUGUGUAUAUACCAAUAUUUAUGUGAUGGGUCCUAGUGCGUUGACAUGUGACAAUAUUUGUAAACACUCAAGUUCUGAUCUUCAUGGUUUUUUAAAUGUUGUGCAAAAGUCCUUAGAACCAAUAGGUAUUAUUUGCCAUUUCUGUGCCCUCAGACAUACAGUUGUUUUUCUUUUAUUGUUAAUAGGAGAAAUGCUACCUUUAAAUUUUUUCCUAGUUCUGUCAAAGUACUGGCUAUGGUGCAGAUAAAAAGAGAACACACGGAUCUCAGGAUAUACGUGUCUUCAAUCCUAGCAGUAGAUGCCUCUGAUAAGAUCCCCUAGUGCUGCUGCAGUGUCCAUUUCCACUCAGAGCAUUUAAAUAAUCCUUUCUAGCAUUCCUUUGAAGAGAAAUUAGCAUGCAAGUUUCAUUUUGUUUUUAACCUAAAUUGAUAGGAGUGAAAAAAUUAAAGGACAAGGUGUUUGUAUAGAUACAAACUAAGUGCAGGAAUUUUGUGUGAAAUUAUUUGGGUGAUGAGGUGAAGCAGCUUGUGUAACUGCUGUAACGCAGAAGCCUUCUUGGUAGAAAUUAAAACAGUACACCCUGUUCUGAAAUUACCGCCACUUCCAUUUGUUUCCCCUGAUUUCAGACAAUCCAGACAAUGGACAAAAUCUGAGUGCCUCUGCUACGUUGAUAUCCAUGAUGGCUUAUAUUGAUUAUCAACUUCACAGGAUCUAGAAUUGCCUGGGAGACAGACUUCUGGGCAUGUCUGUGAAAGCUUCCAGGUUGCAUUAAUUGAGUGGGAAACCUACCCUGAAUAUGAGGAGCAACAUUCAUGUUCUGGAGUCCCAGAACAAAUAAAAUGGAGAAAUGAGCUGAGCACCUGCAUUUAUCUUGAUGUGUUUCCAGACUGUGUAUGCCUCUGACCAUAGGCCUCACACUGGUGCUAUCAUGCCUUCUUUGCCAUUUGGAGUGUACCCUAAAUGUGAGACAAAAUAAAUGUUUCUGUCCUUAA
Mesocricetus auratus (golden hamster) is the source of this 4331-nucleotide long non-coding RNA. RefSeq lists it as uncharacterized. The transcript is spliced from 2 exons. Lineage: Eukaryota; Metazoa; Chordata; Mammalia; Rodentia; Cricetidae. The record is from RefSeq and is a predicted model, not a curated record.